AAGUCGUAACAAGGUUUCCGUAGGUGAACCUGCGGAAGGAUCAUUAACGAAUAACUAUGGUGUCUUGGUUGUAGCUGGCUCCUCGGAGCAUUGUGCACGCCCGCCAUUUUUAUCUUUCCACCUGUGCACCGACUGUAGGUCUGGAUAACUCUCGCCCUUGGGCGGAUGCGAGGAUUGCUCUGUUAAAAAGGGGCUCUCCUCGAAUUUCCAGGCUCUACGUCUUUUUACAAACCCCAAACGUAUGAUAAAGAAUGUAGUCAAUGGGCUUUCAUAGCCUAUAAAACAAAUAUACAACUUUCAGCAACGGAUCUCUUGGCUCUC
RNAcentral lists this unclassified non-coding RNA (321 nucleotides) under air metagenome. RNAcentral describes it as "partial contains small subunit ribosomal RNA, internal transcribed spacer 1, and 5.8S ribosomal RNA". The stretch from base 1 to 46 matches the Rfam family "Eukaryotic small subunit ribosomal RNA", at positions 1786 to 1831 of the family's 1831-position model. The record is from RNAcentral.